CCUAGAGUUUAGUUUUUAGGUAAGGCCUGCCCGGUGAAAGUUUAACGGCCGCGGUAAUUUGACCGUGCUAAGGUAGCAUAAUCAUUUGUCUUUUAAUUGGAGACUGGUAUGAAGGGUACAACAAGAGAUUUGCUGUCUUUGAAAAAUAAAUUGAAUUUUAUUUUUUAGUGAAAAAGCUAAAAUGAUUUUGUGGGACGAUAAGACCCUAUAGAUCUUUAUUAUUUUGAAAAUUUUAAGUUUUCUAGUUAAUUUUAUUGGGGCGAUAUAAAGAAAAAGGUAUCUCUUUAAAUUUGAAAUAUGAAUAAAUAGAUGAUUAUUGGAGCCUAGAUGAUGGGUUAAAAGAAAAAGUUACCUUAGGGAUAACAGCGUAAUAUUUUUUUAGAGUUCUUAUCGAAAAAAAUGUUUGCGACCUCGAUGUU
Molecule: ribosomal RNA, 419 nt
Filed under: Lynceus tatei
Lineage: Eukaryota; Metazoa; Arthropoda; Branchiopoda; Diplostraca; Lynceidae
Description: partial 16S ribosomal RNA
Rfam family: Bacterial large subunit ribosomal RNA
Source: RNAcentral